AUUGAACGCUGGCGGCAGGCCUAACACAUGCAAGUCGAGCGGAGCGGCGGACGGGUGAGUAAUUCCUAGGAAUCUGCCUGGUAGUGGUGGAUAACGUCGGGAAACGGGCGCUAAUACCGCAUACUAUCAGAUGAGCAUAGGUCGGAUUGGCUAGUUGGAGGGGUAAAGGCCUACCAAGGCUACGAUCCGUAACUGGUCUGAGAGGAUGAUCAGUAACAAUGGAACUGCGAGACGGUCCAGACACCAACGGUGGGUAGCAGUGGGAAAUUUUGGACAAUGGGAGAAAGCCGAAGCCAGCCAUGCCGCGUAGGUUAAAAAGGUCUUCGGAUUGUAAAGCACUUUAAGUUGGGAGGCGUUACCAGCAGAAUAAGCACCGGCUAACUUCGUGCCAGCAGCCGCGGUAAUAC
Molecule: ribosomal RNA, 407 nt
Filed under: uncultured bacterium
Lineage: Bacteria
Description: partial 16S ribosomal RNA
Rfam family: Bacterial small subunit ribosomal RNA
Source: RNAcentral